GUUUAAGGGAAUUCUCCAGGGGGUUGGCUUACAUUGGGUGGGGUGUGCCUCUUUUGCCAGGUCAUUGCUGGUGUGUGGGAAACUGUCCUAAACCUCUCUUCCCUUUUUGGUAGGUAAUAAUCCCACUCUUGGACCUUUCAAGGAUUAAAUGAGAUGUGGUGGGUAAAACAUUUAACAGUAGGUCCAGAUUAGUUAGUAUGGUAACCCCCAAAUUAUUGCUAAUGUAGUUUGGAGAUUAAGGGGAUUUGAUCUGUAGCGUUUUGUCCCCACCUGCUGAGCUGCCUGGGUUACAUGUCAUACAGCUCAAGUUCUGAGCCCAGUGAAAUGAGUAAGAUGUAAUAUUCAUUCCUCCGCCCUUUUAGGCACAAGGCUUCCGGGUUUGUAGGGAGCCUCAGGCAUUUGGAGUUCAAGAUCUGUUUGCUUUAUGUCCCUUUGGGAUAUGGAGGUGAGAGGGGGCUGCUUCCUGAGAUUGGUGCACGGGCCCUGCUGUGCUUGCCAGGAAGCCCUGAGAAAAACUUGGUGUCUGAAAACUGGGAAAGUCAGGAAAAGUCAGAGUGCGGCAGUUGUCACCACCAGGGCUGGUGUCUUCCUCUUCUCUCCCUAAGGUGGCCAUUUCAGCCUUACUGUGCCUUUGCAAGGAGGUCAGGGUGGCAGGUUUGCAGAUCCUUUGGGCACAAACAGUCACUCAGCUAUCAG
RNAcentral lists this long non-coding RNA (696 nucleotides) under Marmota monax (woodchuck). The record is from RNAcentral. Lineage: Eukaryota; Metazoa; Chordata; Mammalia; Rodentia; Sciuridae.